GGAGAGGUGGCCGAGUGGCUGAAGGCGCCCGCUUGGAAAGCGUGUAUACGAGCAAUCGUAUCGGGGGUUCGAAUCCCUUCCUCUCCGCCA
This 90-nucleotide transfer RNA is filed under the name Rickettsiaceae bacterium. RNAcentral describes it as "tRNA-Ser". It matches the Rfam family "tRNA". From Rfam's summary of the family: Transfer RNA (tRNA) molecules are approximately 80 nucleotides in length. The record is from RNAcentral. Lineage: Bacteria; Pseudomonadati; Pseudomonadota; Alphaproteobacteria; Rickettsiales; Rickettsiaceae.